RNAcentral lists this long non-coding RNA (482 nucleotides) under Mus caroli (Ryukyu mouse). RNAcentral describes it as "lncRNA (MGP_CAROLIEiJ_G0003621.1)". The record is from RNAcentral. Lineage: Eukaryota; Metazoa; Chordata; Mammalia; Rodentia; Muridae.
GUGAUUGUGAUAGACCCGGGAAACCUGGUCUGACACCCUUUUAAACGGCAGUUGGAGGAGGCUAAGGAAGUAAAAAAGUUGAAGUUGCCAGCUAACUAUGCAACCCCUUUUGUUCUCUGGUGUCAGCCCCCCAGAACCUCUUCUUUGAGAAACUUAUGCAGUUCCUGGCCAAGGAGGUACCUACUGCCAGCGACUACUACCAAGAACAAGCAGCUUCCAAAACUGGAUGGUGGGCAGAGUUAUUUUUAUCUACUCACUGUUAUCUCCUUUAUUUUAUGAGCAGCUCCCUGUGUUUCCUUGUGGUUUGUUUCACAGGAUUCAGUGAACAUGUUCCAAGCAGCAGAGGGUCCUGGCAGUUCGACCCUGUGGGGAAUUCCCAGACUGACAUGGGGCCUCAGUAAAGGGAGUUUUUGAGAUAAGGUGGGGGUAUAGAGAAUGUACUUUGGGACAGCACCAGAAUGAAAAGAAAGUAAACCCAGGCA